CCUACGGGCGGCAGCAGUGAGGAAUAUUGGUCAAUGGACGCAAGUCUGAACCAGCCAUGCCGCGUGCAGGAUGACGGCCCUACGAGUUGUAAACUGCUUUUGUACGAGGGUAAACGGAGGCACGCGUACCUUUUUGAAAGUAUCUUAUGAAUAAGGAUCGGCUAACUCCGUGCCAGCAGCCGCGGUAAUACGGAGGAUUCAAGCGUUAUCCGGAUUUAUUGGGUUUAAAGGGUGCGUAGGCGGUUGGAUAAGUUAGGGGUGAAAUCCCGCGGCUCAACUUCGGAAUUGCAUCUGAUACUGUUAGGCUUGAGAGUAGUUGCGGUAGGCGGAAUUUAUGGUGUAGCGGUGAAAUGCUUAGAGAUCAUGCAGAACACCGAUUGCGAAGGCAGCUUACCAAGCUACUUCUGACGUUGAGGCACGAAAGCGUGGGGAGCAAACAGGAUUAGAUACCCGGGUAGUC
RNAcentral lists this ribosomal RNA (460 nucleotides) under uncultured bacterium. Its description in RNAcentral is "partial 16S ribosomal RNA". It matches the Rfam family "Bacterial small subunit ribosomal RNA", at positions 338 to 795 of the family's 1533-position model. The record is from RNAcentral.